This is a long non-coding RNA of Hyla sarda, 5432 nucleotides long. RefSeq lists it as uncharacterized. NCBI's taxonomy places the organism in Eukaryota, Metazoa, Chordata, Amphibia, Anura, Hylidae. The record is from RefSeq and is a predicted model, not a curated record. The transcript has 6 exons.
CCAAAUCAUUUUAUUAAUAUAAACAUGUUCAAUGGCACAUACCUCAGUCAGAUACAAUAUGUGUUUAUAUAAAAUAACAAUAUAGAUUGUAAAUAGUAUACGUUGGUUUUCUGAUUAUGUGUACAGCACCAUAAAAAGGCUAUAGAGUUAUCUCAAACUAAGACCAGUCUCACACACAGGACAAUUAGAGAAACUCUUUAUACCCCAAGUGAUUGUUUGCUCCGUAAGCAAAAUGUUCCAGCAUUUUAUAUUUCUACAACACAACUGACAGCAGCGAUCUGCCCACCAGUAAAAGGCAACAUUACAUCCACAGUCGCAGAUGUGGGCACUGUGAAGACUACAUUACAAAUGGAAACAUAAAGUUUCCAUGUUGCAUUGGUAGUUUCACAAUAUAAGGCAUUAAAAUGGUUCCCCCUACACACAUAAUGGCAAAAUAUAUAAAUAUAAGCUCUGGUAAAUAAGUAUAGGUGGAAAUCUGUAUCAAAUGGAUCAUUGUGGACUAUGACAUAAAUCCAGAAACAGUGCCACUCUUUUUCAAGGGCUGUGUUUGGUAUUGCAGCCCAGCUUUAUCUCUAAUCUCAUUAAACAAUCUUAAAGCACAAGUGUCACCAAGAAUGUGCUUGGGAAGCUGCACACACAGUGCACUAGGGCUUUACAAGCAUAUUCUCAGCAUAACUUUAUGAAUAAAUUAGGCAGCUUUAUAAUUCCUGUGUGAACAGAGAGGAGGUUGGGGCCUAGAGUAGAGCAGACCCCUGGCUCCAUGUCUCCGAUGUUGGCCCGUUUCACUGAGGAAUAAUAAAGCUGUUUUUUGUAUGCAGCCUAAUUUAUUUAUAAAAUUAUACCGAGAAUAUGCUUGUGAAACCCUAGUGCGCUGUGUGUGCAGCUUCACAAGAAUAUUCUUGCUGACAGUUGCGCUUUAUUGUACUAUUGAAUACUUAAAUGACAAAAAUAAAGCAUUUAAACUACUAAAACAGGAUGCCAGUGAAGAAGCAUUAAAAAGCUAUAGAGAAAAAUAUAAAUUAUGUUAAAAAAAACGGAUAAAAGCCACAAAAAUAGAGACAGAAAGACUCAUUGCCAAAGAGAGUAAAACUAACCCCAAAAUGUUCUUUAACUAUAUAAAUAGCAAAAAGGUAAAAAUGUGUAGGCCCUUUAAAAAAUGAUGAGGAAGAAAUUAUAGACGGGGAUCAGGAAAAAGCAAAUAUAUUAAACAAAUUCUUCUCUACUGUAUUCACUGAAGAAAAUGAAAUGCCAGGUGAAAUACAGCGAGAUAAGGUAAACUUCCCAGUACAGGUCACCUGUCUAACCCAGGAAGAAGUACAGGUCACCUGUCUAACCCAGGAAGAAGUACAGGUCACCUGUCUAACCCAGGAAGAAGUACAGUGCCGCCUACAAAAAAUCAAAAUAGACAAAUCACCAGGUCCAGAUGGCAUUCCCCCCCCACCCCGUGUUCUAAAGGAAUUUAGUAAUGUAAUAAACAGACCCCUAUUUUUAAUAUUCAAGGACUCUAUAGUGAGAGGGAAGGUUCCCCAGGACUGGCGCAUGGCAAAUGUGGUGCCAGUAUUUAAAAAGGAGUCAAAAGGUGACCCCCGGGAAUUAUAGGCCUGUUAGUUUAACCUCCGUUGUAUGUAAAUUGUUUUGCUCUUUUGGAGUAUCUUGAUAAAAAUAAAUGUAUGACCCCAUAUCAGCAUGGCUUUAUGAGGGAUCAGUCCUGUCAAACCAACCUGAUCAGCUUUUAUGAGGAGGUGAGCUCCAGACUGGACCAGGGGAAUCGCUGGAUGUUGUACAUUUGAUACAUUGCCACAUAAAAGAUUGGUACAUAAAAUGAGAAGGAUUGGGCUGGGGAAGAAUGUGUGCAAGUGGGUAAGUAACUGGCUCAGUGAUAGGAAACAGAGGGUGGUUAUUAAUGGUACUUAUUCUGAUUGGGUGACUGUUACUAGUGGGGUACCACAGGGGUCAGUCUUGGGUCCUAUUCUAUUUAAUAUAUUCAUUAAUGACCUUGUAGAGGGGUUGAAUAGUAACGUAGCAAUCUUUGCAGAUGAUACCAAACUCUGUAAAGUGGUUAACACAAUAGAGGACAGUGCACUGUUACAAAUGGAUCUGGAUAGGUUGGAGGUUUGGGUUGGGAAGUGGCAGAUGAGGUUCAACACUGAUAAAUGUAAGGUAAUGCACAUGGGGACGAAAAAUCCGUCUGGGAUUAUGUAUUAAAUGGGAGAACACUUAAGAUGACUGACAUGGAAAAGGACUUAGGAGUCUUAGUUAACAGUAAAUUUAGCUGCAGUGACCUGUGUCGGGCAGCUGCUGCCAAGGCAAAUAAAAUCAUGGGUUGCAUCAAUAGGGGCAUAGAUUCCCAUGACAAGGAAAUCAUUCUACUUCAGUACAAAUCACUAGUCAGACCACACAUAGAAUACUGUGUAUAGUACUGGGCACCAGUGUACAAGAAAGGAGCGGGAGAGGGUUCAAAGACGGGACCAGAGUAAUACGGGGAAUGGGAGGACUACAGUACCCAGAAAGAUUAUCAGAAUUGUUAUUUAGUUUAGAAAAAAAGAAGGCUUAGAAGAGACCUAAUAACUAUGUAUAAAUAUAUCAGAGGACAGUACAGAGAUCUCUCCCAUGAUCUAUUUAUAUCCAGGACUGUAUCUAUAACAAGGGGGCAUCCUCUACGUUUAGAGGAAAGAAGGUUUCUACACCACCACAGACAGGGUGUUCUUUACUGUAAGAGCAGUGAGGCUGUGGAACUCUCUGCCUGAGAAGGUGGUCAUGGUGAACUCUGUAAAAGAGUUCAAAAGGGGUCUGGAUGCAUUUUUGUAGAAUAAUAACAUGGCUGGUUAUGUAUAUUAGAUUUAUAGGGACAGAACGUUGAUCCAGGGAUUUAUUCUGACUGCCAUAUUUGGAGGCAGGAAGGAAUUUUUACCUCUAGUAUGAGGUUUUUUUUGUUUUUGUCUGGAUCAACUCAGUAGGGACUUAUUAGGGGUAUAGGUUGAACCUGAUGGACUCUGGUCUUUUUUCAACCUUAUGAACUAUGUUACAGAACAACAACUACACAGCAGUAGCAGUAGAAGCAGAACAUAAUCUAAAGCAUAUAUUUAAUGUACAUAAAGGCAGACGGUCAAAUUAAAUAAUAUUGAUUUUGGAAAGCUGGCAUUUUUGUCACCCAUAUGUGUAUUAGCCUGAAUCCAGUGCAUAAGGUUACACACACUUCACUAAGAAGGUGCUAGAAUUGCAUAGGACAAGUGCAAAAAUACUUUCAUAUCCCCACAACUGUUCUUAUAAAUAAAUAAAAAAAUGAAUGUCGACAUCCACUUGUCAUAUCAAAAAUAGCUUCAUAGCUUUCUCAGGACAAAGGGCCUAAUAGCAAUACAUGUAUUAUUGUAUUUAGUUACACUUACCAGCACUGUCCUAUACAACCUGUAGAGCUCAACUUGUUCCCAUAGAAACACUUAUUGUAUGUAUGGCAGUGGUAAACUACAUGUGGUAAAAUAGGUUUGUAACAUAUAAAUAAAGAAUGGAAGUCGACAUUUCACACUAGGCAUGUCAAAGCUAUGACUAUGAUGUAUAACCCAAUGUGCCUUCUAUGCCAGAUACCUUCCAAUACUUCCUUAGGGUGCAUGCACACCACGCUUUUGCAAUACAGUUCCAGUAUCAGGUUUUUGAUGAAAAAUGGAUUCCUCAAAACCUGACUAAACUGUAUCAAAAUGUGAGUACAAAUUUCAACCCGUAUACAGUUAAAAACCGUAUACGGUUUUUAUUCAAGUCUUAUUUUGCUGCACAUUGUUAUGUUCCAGGCAAAACUUCCUCCAUUACAGUAGUUAGUUACUACAUUGACAUGUCAUAUAUCUAAACAUGCAGAAGAUAUAUUUGCUGCCUGUCAUAUUUCUGACUUCAUGUUCUUUAGAUACACACAUAGAACGGAAUAAUAAAUGUCAUAUCAGUAAGUGCAAAGACACCAUUCCCAGAUUCUGGUGACUGACUAAAUAUUAUUUGUCACUGUGUUACAUAUUCUGAUCACUAUUGUAGGCAGGGUGCCACACUGUUAAUGUGAACAAUGUUGGUGACCUGGCUUUUGCAAUGCUUUUAAGAUUCAAACAAACACAAAGGCUGCUAUUCAUGGGCAGCUUUGUGUUGCUUAAGCCUAAGUAUUUCAGCACCCCAUAUACAUAUUAUCUAUGAGUUUGAAAUAUACUAACUAGGUAUCUCCCACGUAAUAGCUCCAUUCUGUCCAUUACUCUUCACACUCCUUUCCUUGUCCAAAAGUAAAACCUAGUUCCACCUUCUUUACCAUCAAUGCUCUACUCACUCCUGCUCUCGCCCUAUGUAUUAAAGGGAAUGUAUCACUUAGAUUUUUUCCUUUACCGAUUACAGCCAGAUACUAAAAUACAUUCUUUUUUUCUAAUAUGUUUCUACUUUGUGAUUGUAUUAUUAUUAUUUUUUUUUAUUUUUGUACAUUAUAGGGCAGCCAUCUUGCUUGAGUUUUUUUUUUAACUGCAUUUAGGGAUAUGCUUUACAGUAGAACCCAUGAACUGAAAACAUUACUUGGCAUUCUCUGGGACCUUUUCAGAGGUCAUUCUACAGGAAGGGAGAGGGUGACCUAUGAGUAUCAGCUAUUCACCUGGAAAUCUGCCGUCACUGCUCCACCACAGACAUCAAUAAGUUCUGUCAUGUCAUAAUAUGCAUCAAAAGUCCAAAUGCAGCUUUUAAGGUUAAGAUGUUUGUACAACUGAACAGUCUUUGGUUCCCUGACAUUGGGAUCAAAUUGGUAAGGACGAUCAUAACCAGGACCAACUGCAAUGCUGUCAUAUGUCACCUCAUCCAGGAAUCCAGCUUCUGUAAAGAAAAUAAAUAUUCUUCAGUCCUAAUACCUGAAAUCCCUUUCAAAUCCCGAAUGGUGACAAGAUUGGAGCAUACAUGUUGAUGGCGAUAGACAGACUCAGAAAGCAAGAAGUGAAGAUUAUGGAGUGGCAUUGUAGAGAUAAGUGGCAGCAUGCCAUCUUGAUGAGGAAUCUGUACUGAGAUAUGAAUCCUUAAAGUAGAAACAAAAUAGUAGUUACGGACUGGUGAUCACAUGACCAAGUUAUGGAGUAAUGAAAUGCAUAGAUGUAGCUGGAAUUAAACAAAUGACGCUGAACAACUAUUGAUGGUAAUGGCAACAAAUGACACUUACCAUCCUCAUCGUUUGAUAUGGUUAUUGUAGCCAUAUCUAUUUUUCCAGUUCUUGCCCCACUCCAGUGAUUGCCAAGAGGAUUGCUCAGAUGGACCUGGAACUGUUCUUCUGGUUCAAACACAGAGUCAUCAUUGAUCAGGAUUGUGCAGUUUUUCAUCUGUCAAGUGGCAACUGCAGGAACCAGUCAGCCUGCAUUGGGGCUCAUUUUCUAUUGGUUGAUCAUGAAUCUACAUAUCUAAUUAUAUAUUUAAUAUGAAAAUUUAAGGUGGCACAU